GGUCUGAAUGAGGAUAGCUGGAAUGCGGCUGGAGCAUGCCUGGAGAGGGAUUUAGGAGGGAACGCGAGGCGUCUAGGACGAUGGGGAGGGUGGGCACGCCAUCACUGAGGUGGACAAUAUUAGGGCAAGGCACAGCGAGUUGGAGGUGCGUGCGGGGCAAGCCAAGUGGAACUCUCCCGCAAGCGAUGGGAAGGGCGUUCCGGGACCGCAGGCGCAGAGCUGAGUGGGAGGCGCCUCCUGUGGGUGGAUACGAACCACUGACAGCAAAGGAGCUGGUCCAGAGGGCCGAGGGAGAAGGAAAUGAGCGGGCCACCUGGGGUCAAGGAGGAGUGGGAUUGGGGCUGGUAGGGGAAGGAGAGGGCAGGGAGGAGAAGGACCACGCAGACUCCAAGCGGCCUCCGGCGGUCUGCCCGCUGCGUGUUGGGAGGGCCCCGGGCAUCGGAGCCGAUGUUGUCACCUCGGGUCUCCAGGCGGGGUUGCAGGCGGAGCCCCGAGUGGCACCCGGCGCAGGCAGGCGCGGAAGAGCCCACCGAGGGAGGGCCUUCCCGCCUACCCUCUAGCAGCAUUGGAGAGCCCGGCACCCGCGCGGCUGGAGUAUGGCCCCGGACGCCUCCUGCGCGCGGCAGGACAGCCUGAGCCAUCGUCACCACCCCAGGUUCCCCGUGCAUCCAGGCCGCGCCUCCCCUCGCCGCGCCUCCCGGCCCGAGGGCCCGGCUACGUCACUGCGGCUCUGACGCGCGCUAAUGGAGGCACGGGCGGAGGCGGCGGGGCGCGGGCUUCCUCCCGGGAGGUCCCGGUUCUUGCAACCCACCGCCGCGUCCUUGGCCCUUCUCCAGGGGAACCUCGAUUUUCCAAAUUCGGGAAGGCUGGCUGUCCUUCGACUACUGAUAAGGACGCGAGCGCAUGGUAAAAGAUUUUAACAAUGCCCGGAAAGAAAUAGCUGGACCCGAAAAAGAGACUAAUAAUAGCCACCAGCUAGAGCUCUGCUCGUGUGCUCAGCGCCCUUAAGAACAAUAAUGACGACAACAACCAUAAUAGCUACCAUUUAUUGAGCGCUUACUCUGUGCCAGGCACUGGGUUAAGCGCUUUGCAAGCAACAACCCUCGGAGGUAAGUACCGUUAUUAUCCCUAUUUUGCAGGAAACCGGGGCAGAGAGGUUAAAUAACUUGCCCCAGGGCACACAGCUAGCUGAUGCCAGUGCCAGAAUUCCAACCCAGGUUGUCUGAUCCCAUGUAAUCCUCAUGUCCACCCAUUAUGGUCGGGAUCAUCCUCUCCAUCUUAAAGAUGAGGAAACUAAGGCACAUGGGAAUGUAAGUACCUUGCCCAAGGUCACCUAGCUGGAAAAUGGAUGAGGCAGAAAGCGAACCCAGGGCUCCUCUCUGUCCGCAGAACCCGCGGUCUUGGCCUUAGGCGAUGCCACUUCCAAACCACCUCCGAUAGCCCAGCAGGCUUUGGCCCCUGGUCCCAAGAGGCGCAGCCCCUGAUAGGUUUGGGUGAGUUCCUGUGGCCUCCGAUCCCCUGGUGCAUCGAGUGUUUCCGAGCAUCGUCCCUGCUUGGCCCUCUGGUUUAGGAAAGGAACGCAUCUGCGGGAAUCUCGUCUUGGACCUGGCGCGCGGUCCUGGGAAGGAAUGGAGCGGGGGCGGGUGCAGAGGGAGGGAUCCAGAGUCCCACUAGCAGAGCCGCGGAGCCUGGCCCAGGGUUUGCCCCGCGCAGCCGGCAGAGGGCGCUGCCGCACGCGCCUAGAGUCCCACGGUCACCAGACCUAGGGGCAGGCAUACCUCCACCUACGGAUGCCUGGACUCAACCCUGGAUCAAGAAGCUUUCUUCCUGGGGGCUGGCACCCUCAGAGCCCUCCCCACAGUACUGGAUCUGCUUUACCUGACUUCGCUUCCCCCUCUUUUGCGCUUUUGUCACCCCACCAUCUGCCUCCAAGGCUUCCCCACGCCCUGCACCACGGAUUGAUUCACCUCCUGCUGAGAGGCGAGAUACUGAUCCCAUUCCAGGCCCUGGAGCUCGCAAAUCCAACUCGACCUUGUCUUCCCUUCCGGUGGGCCCUUGGGUGAUUUAAAAUGGGGACGAAUGGAAUCAUCCUCUUGGAAUAGAUAACGAAUUUUCUUUCUUUCUCCAAAAUUAGAGGGGUGGUGGUGGUUAAGAAGGAGUAGACAGAUGAAAGGUUCUAUUUUCAUAAUAGCUACCGCCUAUUGAAGGCUUCUUUUGGGCCAAGCCCUUUAUAUGUCUUAACUCAUUGAUUCUCACUACAGCUCUGAGAGGUCUGGGUAUUGUUCCUACCUGAUGGAUGACUAUGUCAGGAAACUGGUAAGUAGCAAAGCUGGGAUUCCACCAGGAGUAUUUAGAUUUUAAGUCAUGUCCACGUCACCCAGGAUGUACAAGGAAACACAUUGAUCAAAAGAGGUAGGAUAUACAACCUCAAACUAACUAAGAGUGCCCCAUUGAACUGAGGACUGACUAGCUUUCUGGGCUCCACUUUGGGACUCAAAUAUCUGAAACAGAAAAACAAACCCUAAAGGUGCUAUUGGAGACUAGGACCAAGGUUUUUCGCUUCUACUUGGAAGAGCAUCCGGAGAGGCCCACUCACUUUCUAUGUCUGGGCUCUAAGGAAAUAAAGGUGGUUCUAGGAAAAUCUGAAAAAUAUGGAAGGAAAAAAAAAUCCCUUCUGUGGUUUUUGCUUUAACCAAGUCUCAUUUUGCUAUUUGCGUUUCAUUUUAAAAUUAAUGUGGCUCUCCCCACCCUUUAAAUUGGCACAUAAAUAGCAAAAACAGAAGGAAAGCCCGCUACAAACUUAAAAUGUGGUGGGUUCUCAGGAAGGAGGGACAUGACUUGAAGUGGAAAUGAGGAUUAAAUGAGGUGCUUUAAACAUUUCAAAGACAGAUUUUCCACAAGGAAUUUAGAGCAUAAGCCCUUAGAAUAAGAGCUCUGUCUGGGCCAGGCUGGGUAUAGUGUCUAGAAUUUGCACUUGCUGAAUGGAUGUGGGAACGCAAUCACACUUGUAGGGAAUGCCUACACCCUCUAACCAUCUGGGCCACCACUGUGCUUAUGGUCUUAAAAUGCAAUCUAGGGGGAUUUUCCUGUCCUCUGAGUCUGUCACUCUGUCAGACUCCUACUUUUCCAGAUGUUUGGUCUGGAAAUUCAGUCAAGGUAAGGCAACUGUUGAUGAUGUCACUAUACUUGGUUACCAUAGAAUAAUGCUUAGCUCUGAAAUCACCAACUGGGGGCUUUUCCAGACAGAGAAAUCAAGGCAGCAAGGACCUCAUGAGACUUGUCACUUAAUAGUUCUGGCUCUAUUUCUCUGUUUUUAAACAAGAAGAAUUUUCCUCAUCACACAAUUCAAGAGAGCUUGGGCAGUCCCAGGCUGCUUCCUGCUAAAUUCUUGGACUUUUUUUUGUCCUUCCUGACACCUUCUGCCAUGUUUUCAGUGCCUUCACUCCACAAACACGUCUUGAGAUCCCACUCUAUAAAGGUACUGGGAGUACCCAGCAGUGAGGAACCCAACAUGAAUUCAUCAGAGGUCACCUUCUCCCACUCUCACCUGGAUCCUGACCUCCUGGCUCCAACUUCCACACCAGGUCCCACAAUAGUAAAUGGCUUGCUUCUCCAGCCAGGGACCAUUGCUCAGACACUUCUGACAUCCUGGCAGCUCCCUGACAUCAUGUCCUCGGACCCCAGGUCCCUGUCCUGGUGAUAUCAAUUUGACAGCAGUUUUGGGCCCUCGGAAGCAGGGCUUGGGAAUGUUCUAGGUCCAACACUUGCAUUCUUUCCAGUCCUUUCUAGUUGUCAUUCCUUCAGCUCAUAAGAGCGCUGCUAAUGAUGACUGAGCUAGCUAGGCCUUACUUAGGAAGCAUCUCUUACAAUGAAAAUCCCAUAGUGACAUAAUUCUCCACUGUUCACAGGAAAAUGCUGGAUUAAACAAAUGACAGUGACUGUCUGGCAACGGAUGCACUGGAUAAUGCUUACCAGUUUUUCAGGUACAUAAUUCCAGCAAGAGACCCGAAACAAGAUGUACAAAAUGUCUCCCACUCCGUGAGGCUCCUGGUGGUGAACAUCCAGUCCUGGUCAUCCUCAUGCUCGCCACCCUCACAUGACUUGACUUCUGGCCUCAUGAGCUCUGCAGCUGCACCCUCCCACAACUUUAGAAGUACAAUCACAGAAUCCAGGGCUCCAAAGCGUGGACCCUUAUCCACCCUUAGCACCUGCCCCAGCAUGGGAAAGCUCUUCUCAGCUCCUUUGAGAUGGAGAUGCAGGUGGCAUGCAGGCGCCCUGACCUAUGGGAGACAAAGCGGAGCUGCAGGUGGAGGCCACGGCGUCGCUGCGGGGGUGUGAAUCAGCGGUGCUAUGUGCAGUCCUGGGGUCCCCUGAUGUCAGCUGGCCCCGCUUGUGGUGGGCCUGGGAGCAUCCACAGAGAACCUGGCCGGCGCAGACAAGCAGAAGUGACUCUUACCAGUGCCGACUUUUGUUCAGGCCCUGAGCCCAUCUUGCCUGGCUAACGGCUACAGUCCCUUGACGUCACUGGUCAAUUGCAGUCUUGCUCAUCUCCAGUCCCUUGUCCACGCCGCAGUGGAGUGAUUUAUCUAAAUGCAGUCCCAACCAUGUGAUUUUCCUCCGUAAAACCUACCGAUGGCUCUCGUUUGCCUUCAGGGUAACUCUUAGAUGGUCAACAAGGUCCCUCAACGUCUAGCCAUUGGCUGCCCUCUCCUGCCCCGUAUUUCCUCACACGUUCCUGGCCAUAAGCAAGUGUGAGAAGUGUUCUCCAGACACUUCUGAUUCUAGCCUCAUCUGUACCUUCAGAAUUUUUGCCGCCUUCUUCCCUCGGUCCAGAGCACCCUUCCUCUUUCUGGGCACCUAGCAAACACCUGCUUCUCCCCUUCAAGAACACAUCCUGAAAAUUCCCACCAUCCUGAAACCUCUCUUCAAGCACAGAGUCGACCACUUCCUCCUCUGAGCCGCUUUGGUGCCCUCUGUAAAGACAAUUACCCUUGACACUGCCAUGAUUGCUGUCCAGGCCUGAGACCCUUUCCAGUUUCACGAGGGCAGCAUGGAUUCUAAUUUCCAUACCCCUGGGACACACGGGAUCACCACAUCUAGAGAUGAGUGUCCCUAGAUGAAUGAAAGAAGAUAUAGAAGAGGAAACUGAGGCCCAGACAGGAGUAGUGACAUGGCUGACGUGCAGUCGGCAAGCCUGUAACUCCAGCGGCUCUGACCCCAGGGACUCUGGACCAUUCAUUUGUUCCUCAGUCACUUCCUAAGCGCCAGUGAGACUCCAGACACUGUGCUGUACCCUGAUACAAAGAUCCAGGAGCCACCUGGCCCUCAGGAGCCCACAGGCAGGUGGAACAGAAGGACCACGUCCUUUAUUACAAACUGUGACGGAGGGUGUAGCAGCGGCUGCAGGAAAUCCAGGGACAUGGUGGUGAGAGGAAGCCACUAGCUCUGGCUGAAUGUUUGUUUCCCCAUCAAAAUUCGUACAUUGAGGGGCUGGGGUUGUGGCGCAGAGGAAGAGUGCUCGCCUUGUAUGUGUGAGACACUGGGUUUGAUCCUCAGCACCACAUAAAUAUAAAAUAAAGAUAUUGUG
This is a non-coding RNA of Ictidomys tridecemlineatus (thirteen-lined ground squirrel), 5587 nucleotides long. The record is from RefSeq and is a predicted model, not a curated record. NCBI's taxonomy places the organism in Eukaryota, Metazoa, Chordata, Mammalia, Rodentia, Sciuridae.